ACUCCUACGGGAGGCAGCAGUGGGGAAUAUUGCACAAUGGGCGCAAGCCUGAUGCAGCCAUGCCGCGUGUAUGAAGAAGGCCUUCGGGUUGUAAAGCACUUUCAGUAGGGAGGAAGGUGAGUGUAGUUAACACCUGCAUUAUUUGACGUUACCUACAGAGAAGCACCGGCUAACUCCGUGCCAGCAGCCGCGGUAAUACGGAGGGUGCGAGCGUUAAUCGGAAUUACUGGGCGUAAAGCGCAUGCAGGCGGCCUGUUAAGUCAGAUGUGAAAGCCCGGGGCUUAAGCCUCGGAAUUGCAUUUGAAACUGGCAGGCUAGAGUCUUGUAGAGGGGGUG
RNAcentral lists this ribosomal RNA (336 nucleotides) under uncultured bacterium. RNAcentral's name for it is "bacterial SSU rRNA". It matches the Rfam family "Bacterial small subunit ribosomal RNA", at positions 335 to 662 of the family's 1533-position model. The record is from RNAcentral.